AUCGGUGUUGCUAAUGAUCUAUUUAUGCUACUGAAAAAGUUACAUGUGGAUUACAUUUAGCAUGUAUAUGUAUUUUUUUGUUUGUUGUUUUCUCAAUAACAUUUUUAGGAUGAUAACCAAGAGCUAUAAUUCCAUGCACCCCAAAUAUACAGGACAGUACAACUUGCCAUGAUAUCUAAAAAUGUUAGGAUGGAGAAUAAAUAUGACCAACUAGGAUUUUUGGAUGGAGAAUAAAUAUAAUCAACUAGUCAAAUAAAUAUAUCUGUUUAGUCAAUCAGCGUGUUUCACAGAAUGGUCAGUACAACAGAAUUGGUAGAAUUAGCUAUUCCAUUUAUGUUGUUGUUACUUGUCCAGUUAGCGACAAAAGAAUAAUUUUUACUAUUUUUUUCUCUCAAUCCAAACAAGAACAUAAAGAGCAGCUACCUCGCCGAUCAAGAGUUUCGGAGGAGAUCUUUAGCCCAUUACUUGCAAAUCUCUCUAGGUUUCUAGUUGGGAUGGGUGUUCUGGAUGGGAAAUACGAUGACUUACCCGAACAGUCGUUUUACAUGGUUGGAGGUAUCGAGGAAGUCAUCGCCAAGGCCGAGAAGAUUGCAAAGGAGUCAGCGUCAUGAUAGAAAUUUCUCUCCUCAUUCAGAAACUGGAGCGAUAUAGCCUAUGGGACCACCUGCGAUGAAGAAAAAUUGCAUUUCCGUAGACAGCUUUUUCUUUGUUUUAAUGCUGGCCGGAUUUUUUAUCUUCUUCUGAGAGAGCCAAAAAUGAACUCUCAGAUCUUCUUGGCACGAUGAUAAGUAUAUGCAGCGACUCGUUUCUUUCUUGCAUGAGACAUUUGCACUCCAAACUGUAUCCAAAUGUGUAUUUUGUACCAGUCACUGAACCAUGUAGUUUGUUUCUCUAGUGGUUCUUACCUUCUGGUUUAA
Molecule: non-coding RNA, 917 nt
Organism: Musa acuminata subsp. malaccensis (wild Malaysian banana)
Lineage: Eukaryota; Viridiplantae; Streptophyta; Magnoliopsida; Zingiberales; Musaceae
Source: RefSeq, a predicted model, not a curated record